AACGAACGCUGGCGGCAUGCCUAACACAUGCAAGUCGAACGAGACCUUCGGGGCUAGUGGCGCACGGGUGCGUAACGCGUGGGAACCUGCCCUUAGGUUCGGAAUAACUCCCCGAAAGGGGUGCUAAUACCGGAUAAUGUCUUCGGACCAAAGAUUUAUCGCCUUUGGAUGGGCCCGCGUUGGAUUAGCUAGUUGGUAGGGUAAAAGCCUACCAAGGCGACGAUCCAUAGCUGGUCUGAGAGGAUGAUCAGCCACACUGGGCCUGAGACACGGCCCAGACUCCUACGGGAGGCAGCAGUGGGGAAUAUUAGACGAUGGGCGAAAGCCUGAUCCAGCAAUGCCGCGUGAGUGAUGAAGGCCUUAGGGUUGUAAAGCUCUUUUACCCGGGAUGAUAAUGACAGUACCGGGAGAAUAAGCUCCGGCUAACUCCGUG
Molecule: ribosomal RNA, 433 nt
Filed under: uncultured bacterium
Lineage: Bacteria
Description: partial 16S ribosomal RNA
Rfam family: Bacterial small subunit ribosomal RNA
Source: RNAcentral